GCUCGUAGGUGGUUUGUCGCGUUGUUCGUGAAAACUCACAGCUUAACUGUGGGCGUGCGGGCGAUACGGGCAGACUGGAGUACUGCAGGGGAGACUGGAAUUCCUGGUGUAGCGGUGGAAUGCGCAGAUAUCAGGAGGAACACCGGUGGCGAAGGCGGGUCUCUGGGCAGUAACUGACGCUGAGGAGCGAAAGCGUGGGGAGCGAACAGGAUUAGAUACCCUGGUAGUCCACGCCGUAAACGGUGGGUACUAGGUGUGGGUUUCCUUCCUUGGGAUCCGUGCCGUAGCUAACGCAUUAAGUACCCCGCCUGGGGAGUACGGCCGCAAGGCUAAAACUCAAAGAAAUUGACGGGGGCCCGCACAAGCGGUGGAGCAUGUGGUUUAAUUCGACGCAACGCGAAGAACCUUACCAGCUCUUGACAUGCCCGGUAUGGGCGGGAGAGAUCUCGUCCUUCGGUUCGGCCGGCCGGGACACAGGUGCUGCAUGGCUGUCGUCAGCUCGUGUCGUGAGAUGUUGGGUUAAGUCCCGCAACGAGCGCAACCCCCAUCUGCAGUU
This 556-nucleotide ribosomal RNA is filed under the name uncultured bacterium. RNAcentral's name for it is "bacterial SSU rRNA". It matches the Rfam family "Bacterial small subunit ribosomal RNA", at positions 567 to 1116 of the family's 1533-position model. The record is from RNAcentral.